AACGAACGCUGGCGGCAGGCCUAACACAUGCAAGUCGAACGCCGUAGCAAUACGGAGUGGCAGACGGGUGAGUAACGCGUGGGAACAUACCCCUCGGUUCGGAAUAACUUAGGGAAACUUGAGCUAAUACCGGAUACGUCCGAGGUUUUAACCGGCCUCGGAGAAAGAUUUAUCGCCGGAGGAUUGGCCCGCGUCUGAUUAGCUUGUUGGUGAGGUAAUGGCUCACCAAGGCGACGAUCAGUAGCUGGUCUGAGAGGAUGAUCAGCCACAUUGGGGACUGAGACACGGCCCAAACUCCUACGGGAGGCAGCAGGUGGGGAAUAUUGGACAAUGGGCGAAAGCCUGAUCCAGCCAUGCCGCGUGAGUGAUGAAGG
Molecule: ribosomal RNA, 374 nt
Filed under: uncultured bacterium
Lineage: Bacteria
Description: bacterial SSU rRNA
Rfam family: Bacterial small subunit ribosomal RNA
Source: RNAcentral